RNAcentral lists this ribosomal RNA (398 nucleotides) under uncultured bacterium. RNAcentral's name for it is "bacterial SSU rRNA". It matches the Rfam family "Bacterial small subunit ribosomal RNA", at positions 70 to 459 of the family's 1533-position model. The record is from RNAcentral.
AAGGAUCCCGGCUUGCCGGGAACCGAGUAAAGUGGCGGACGGGUGCGUAACGCGUAGACAACUUGCCCUUGAGCGGGGAAUAACUGCCGGAAACGGCAGCUAAUACCGCAUGAUGUCAUAGGACCGCAUGGUUCUGUGACCAAAGCUUUCGAGCGCUCAAGGAUGGGUCUGCGUCGGAUUAGCUUGUUGGUAGGGUAACGGCCUACCAAGGCGACAAUCCGUAGCUGGUCUGAGAGGACGAUCAGCCACACUGGGACUGAGACACGGCCCAGACUCCUACGGGAGGCAGCAGUGGGGAAUCUUGCGCAAUGGAGGAAACUCUGACGCAGCUACGCCGCGUGCAGGAAGACACCCCUCAGGGGCGUAAACUGCUUUUUCGUGAGAAGAAGGCUUCGGCG